GCCGCUUUAGCUCAGAUGGUAGAGCAAUGGACUGAAAAUCCAUGUGUCCCCAGUUCGAGUCUGGGAGGCGGCA
RNAcentral lists this transfer RNA (73 nucleotides) under bacterium. RNAcentral's name for it is "tRNA-Phe". It matches the Rfam family "tRNA". Rfam says of the family: Transfer RNA (tRNA) molecules are approximately 80 nucleotides in length. The record is from RNAcentral.